Molecule: ribosomal RNA, 1041 nt
Filed under: Triticum aestivum (bread wheat)
Lineage: Eukaryota; Viridiplantae; Streptophyta; Magnoliopsida; Poales; Poaceae
Description: partial small subunit ribosomal RNA
Source: RNAcentral
CGUCUUCUGGAUAACCUUGAUUCUUUGUGUGCUUCUAUCUUAAGGGAAAAGUACUACCCUGAUGGUGACUUGAUGAAUGCUAAACAAAGGAAAGGCUCUUCUUUUACAUGGCAGAGUAUUAUGGCAGGCAUCAUUACCCUGAAAAGAGGCUAUAUCUGGCGAGUGGGGAACGGACAAAAAAUAAAUAUUUGAGAAGAUGCUUGGAUCCCAAACUGUGCUAAUAGGAGAAUUGUAACACCGAAGGGGGGGCAUCUGUUAACCAAGGUAGGUGAUCUCAUUGAUCAUGUGUCCAAUAAUUGGGAUGAAGGACUCAUCAAACAAACUACGUGGCCCAUCGAUAUACAACGGAUUCUUUCAAUUCCACUCUCGUAAUAUGAUAUGCCAGAUUUUAUUGCUUGGAGCUAUACAAAAAAUGGAAUGUUCUUGGUCUAGUCAGCAUAUUCCAUCGAGUGGGAAAAUCAGUAUGGUAACAAAUUAAAAUACUCCAAUGGAGUGGGGGGAACCACAGUUAAUCCUAUUUGGAGUAAGAUAUGGAAGUUAUAUUGCCCGGCGAAAGUGAAAAUUUUUAUAUGGCGCACGCCUCAUGAAACUCUCCCAUGCCGGGUUAUGCUUGCUAAUAGACAUAUGAAGGUUUCGCCCACUUGCCCCACUUGCUCACAGGGCUUAGAAGAUACAAAACAUAUGUUUUUCCGUUGUAGGAAAGCAAAGGAGGUUUGGAAAAGGCUAGGGAUAAUUGAUAUUAUCGAUAAAGCAUGCGAAGUAGACCAUGCUGGAGAGGUGGUGUUGGAGUACUUACUACUUCUCUCGGACCAAGAUUGGAGGAUGAUAGGUCACCACAAUGUGCAUGAGAUGAUUGCUGUCUCAACAUGGUAUUUAUGGUGGGAAAGACGGAAGUUAGUGCAUAAGGAGAAACCCCAAAAUGCCUUGCAGAUUUCAAUGGGUGUUUUAUCACUUACCACAAACUUUGUUAAUGCUUCAUCGCCCAAGGCUACCAUUAAGAAGGAAGGAUGGUCCUGUCCCCUAGAGGUUCGUGAAACUUAA